CCAUUUGCUCAUGGGUGCCGUCUUGGGAAACCUGGCGGCCCCGAGCUUACCAUCCCUGCCUAUCCACACCUCAUGUUACCUUCGGCAGGGCAACCUGCCGCUGGAGAAAUCCAAACCCACUGUAUCCAGUAUCCACCUUCUGAGCAUUUGAAUUAUCA
This 158-nucleotide unclassified non-coding RNA is filed under the name uncultured fungus. Its description in RNAcentral is "sequence contains ITS1". Lineage: Eukaryota; Fungi. The record is from RNAcentral.